RNAcentral lists this long non-coding RNA (1233 nucleotides) under Oryctolagus cuniculus (rabbit). RNAcentral's name for it is "lncRNA (ENSOCUG00000032660.1)". The record is from RNAcentral. Lineage: Eukaryota; Metazoa; Chordata; Mammalia; Lagomorpha; Leporidae.
GUCUAUCGUCCCAGUCACACACACGUGUCCCCCGCAGGUCCGCCUCCUCCCGGCUCGCACACGUGUCCCCCGCAGGUCCGCCUCGUCCCGGCUCACACACACGUGUCCCCCGCAGGUCCGCCUCGUCCCGGCACACACGUGUCCCCCGCAGGUCGCCGCACACAGGACGAGUGCGGGUGCUGUGCCCCGGCGCAGGGUUCCAUAGCCCAGCAGGAGCAACUGCACGUGUGUGGGGAGCCAUCGCUAGUCUGGUUCCACGCGGCAGGCCCGCAUUCGCACCGCGUGCAUCCUGGAGAACCCCGCAAACACGGCCUUUCGGGGCCGCCGCCCCAGCGGAGCCGGGACUCCGCCGGUGUAUCGCAAAGCCGCGCCCGGGAAGCCGGCGCCCUGGGCUUGGCCCGUCAGGGCCCGCGGGCAGCUGGGGGCAGCCCCGGCCGCUCCCCUGACCCGUGUCCACUCUGCUCAGCGAGCGGCAGCCGCACUCCGGCCCUCCCGCGGCCCGGAGCCCCUCACUCCGCAGCCCCCAGGGCGCGGCACACACCAACGCGAAGCCUUCGAGACCAGCUCGGGUGGCCACGACCACGGGCGGACGUUCCAGAAACUUCCCCGCUGUGCCCCCGACACCCUGCCCGCCGCGGCGGCGAAGGACCCCCAAGGAUGCCCACACCUUGGUCCCCGAGGCUGCGGUCGCACCCCGCUCGCCACAACGGAGCGGCCCGCAGGGAUCCCCGGGGACCCCGGGUCGCCCCAGGGGCAGCCCACCGGGCCCGCGAGGUCCUCCGCAGCGGGGCGGGGCGAGGCGGCCCAGGGUUCAAGGGCCCGGCCCCGCGGGGAAGAAGGGGUGGGCUUCUUGCUUCACAGAGGGUGCGCGCCGCGCCGGUGUGCGGCGCCGGCGCCCGGUGUUCGACGACCACAACGACCACGACGACCACGACGAGGGCCGGCUCACGGCGCAGCGCGAGCGCUCGCAGGCGACCCGGAACCGGAAGUGCCGAGGGCCCGGAACCGGAAGUGCCAAGGUUCCGCGCGGGCGCUCGCACUUCCGGCAGGGCAGCCGGAUGCCCUCCCCAGUGCUGCCGGCCACCCCUCGCAGGGUCCAGCCCGCCUGCCCGCCUGCCCGCCUGCCGGCAGGUGACCCUGGGGACCGCCCUGGGACCGCUGCCCAAGCCAUCGCCCUCCGGAAGCUGGAAAGGGCCCGGGGACAGAGCCCCCGGGGGACUACCCUGGUUUUAG